CAGCAGCCGCGGUAAUACGUAGGGUGCAAGCGUUAAUCGGAAUUACUGGGCGUAAAGCGUGCGCAGGCGGUUAUGUAAGACAGUUGUGAAAUCCCCGGGCUCAACCUGGGAACUGCAUCUGUGACUGCAUAGCUAGAGUACGGUAGAGGGGGAUGGAAUUCCGCGUGUAGCAGUGAAAUGCGUAGAUAUGCGGAGGAACACCGAUGGCGAAGGCAAUCCCCUGGACCUGUACUGACGCUCAUGCACGAAAGCGUGGGGAGCAAACAGGAUUAGAUACCCCUGUAGUCCCUGUCUCUUAUAC
Molecule: ribosomal RNA, 301 nt
Filed under: uncultured bacterium
Lineage: Bacteria
Description: partial 16S ribosomal RNA
Rfam family: Bacterial small subunit ribosomal RNA
Source: RNAcentral